Molecule: ribosomal RNA, 398 nt
Filed under: uncultured bacterium
Lineage: Bacteria
Description: bacterial SSU rRNA
Rfam family: Bacterial small subunit ribosomal RNA
Source: RNAcentral
GAAUCUUGCACAAUGGGGGCAACCCUGAUGCAGCGACGCCGCGUGAGCGAUGAAGCCCUUCGGGGCGUAAAGCUCUUUCGACCGGAACGAUAAUGACGGUACCGGGAGAAGAAGCUGCGGCUAACUACGUGCCAGCAGCCGCGGUAAUACGUAGGCAGCAAGCGUUGUUCGGAGUUACUGGGCGUAAAGAGUGCGUAGGCGGUUUUCUAAGUUCGGUGUGAAAUCUCCCGGCUUAACUGGGAGGGUGCGCCGAGGACUGGGAAGCUGGAGUGUGGGAAAGGCAGGCGGAAUUCCUGGUGUAGCGGUGAAAUGCGUAGAUAUCAGGAGGAACACCGGCGGUGUAGACGGCUUGCUAGACCAUAACUGACGCUGAGGCACGAAAGCGUGGGUAGCAAACA